Molecule: transfer RNA, 76 nt
Filed under: bacterium
Lineage: Bacteria
Description: tRNA-Thr
Rfam family: tRNA
About the family: Transfer RNA (tRNA) molecules are approximately 80 nucleotides in length.
Source: RNAcentral
GCUGGCGUAGCUCAGCUGGUAGAGCAGCGCACUCGUAAUGCGCAGGUCCGCGGUUCGAAUCCGCGCGCCAGCUCCG